Cannabis sativa is the source of this 656-nucleotide long non-coding RNA. RefSeq lists it as uncharacterized. The record is from RefSeq and is a predicted model, not a curated record. Lineage: Eukaryota; Viridiplantae; Streptophyta; Magnoliopsida; Rosales; Cannabaceae. The transcript has 4 exons.
AACGACUCAAGAGGGAAAAUUGAUAGUACGGCCAAAAUAUUGAAAAGGAGCCCAAGCCAAGCCCACUCCAAGGAGUGGUAUUUUGGGAACCUAGGUUCUCAUUUUGGGAUUGGAUCUGAUUUGUCACUCUGUACUCGCUUCUCUCUCUCUGCGAUGAUCAAGUCAAACAACUUCAUGGAAGGAGUGUUUCACAAGAUUAGAAGGCCUAACCCAUGGGAAGCAGGAAACUAUAUCAAUUGCUAUGUAGCCAAGCUUUGAAGUUUUUCAAGGGAAGAAGUUGGUUGACUGAGAUUUGGGUGCUGGUGGGAGGGAUAGGAGGAAUUCUCUGAAAGGGUUAGUGAAUUAGCAUGGGGAGACACCAAGAUGGAACAAUCACAAGCAAGGAACAGGCUCAAACUUCUCCAGUUAUGUGAUUUCAACUAAAUAGCAAGACUCUAAGAUUGUUCCAAGAAGUGUGAAGUGUUGAGAGCUUGGGUCUCUUGAAGAUAGACUGAUUAGUUAGUUUUGUGAAAUAAUGAGAUACAUACAGAAUCUCUACCCUGGGUCAUUACUUUCAUUCACAUGUUUUAUUUUUUCCCAUAUAACAUAUGGUUGUAAAUUUGUAACAGUAUCUUUCUUUUCUUUGAAUAAAAAUAUGUAUUUUUUUUUUGUGUAAA